CGCGAUUUAGUGCAAGACGGGGCGGUGAGUUCCCGCGCAGGUUCAUGUUGAGCAGCGUGCAAAUAAUGCUAGACGAUGAGAUGCGCGCCUUCCGUUCGCUGAAAUACUCCGAUGACUUGCCCGGCUUAGUGCACCCCAAGUACCUGAGCGUCUACUGGCCGUGCGACGCUCACUCGUUGGGUGCGCUGGCGCGUUUCAUGCUGUGCGAGACCCUCAGCGGCGAGACGGCCAGCGACGCGCUGCGGUGGAC
This 250-nucleotide unclassified non-coding RNA is filed under the name Melitaea cinxia (Glanville fritillary). Its description in RNAcentral is "misc RNA ENSMCXG00005018652.1". The record is from RNAcentral. Lineage: Eukaryota; Metazoa; Arthropoda; Insecta; Lepidoptera; Nymphalidae.